This 689-nucleotide ribosomal RNA is filed under the name Streptomyces sp. RNAcentral describes it as "bacterial SSU rRNA". It matches the Rfam family "Bacterial small subunit ribosomal RNA", at positions 67 to 773 of the family's 1533-position model. Lineage: Bacteria; Bacillati; Actinomycetota; Actinomycetes; Kitasatosporales; Streptomycetaceae. The record is from RNAcentral.
CGAUGAACCACUUCGGUGGGGAUUAGUGGCGAACGGGUGAGUAACACGUGGGCAAUCUGCCCUUCACUCUGGGACAAGCCCUGGAAACGGGGUCUAAUACCGGAUACCACUCUCACGGGCAUCUGUGAGGGUUGAAAGCUCCGGCGGUGAAGGAUGAGCCCGCGGCCUAUCAGCUUGUUGGUGAGGUAACGGCUCACCAAGGCGACGACGGGUAGCCGGCCUGAGAGGGCGACCGGCCACACUGGGACUGAGACACGGCCCAGACUCCUACGGGAGGCAGCAGUGGGGAAUAUUGCACAAUGGGCGAAAGCCUGAUGCAGCGACGCCGCGUGAGGGAUGACGGCCUUCGGGUUGUAAACCUCUUUCAGCAGGGAAGAAGCGAAAGUGACGGUACCUGCAGAAGAAGCGCCGGCUAACUACGUGCCAGCAGCCGCGGUAAUACGUAGGGCGCAAGCGUUGUCCGGAAUUAUUGGGCGUAAAGAGCUCGUAGGCGGCUUGUCACGUCGGGUGUGAAAGCCCGGGGCUUAACCCCGGGUCUGCAUUCGAUACGGGCUAGCUAGAGUGUGGUAGGGGAGAUCGGAAUUCCUGGUGUAGCGGUGAAAUGCGCAGAUAUCAGGAGGAACACCGGUGGCGAAGGCGGAUCUCUGGGCCAUUACUGACGCUGAGGAGCGAAAGCGUGGGGAGCGAAC